Molecule: non-coding RNA, 31 nt
Filed under: Mus musculus (house mouse)
Lineage: Eukaryota; Metazoa; Chordata; Mammalia; Rodentia; Muridae
Source: RNAcentral
UAACAACAGUUACCCAUUCUGUAAUGGAAGG